This 136-nucleotide microRNA precursor is filed under the name Hordeum vulgare. Its description in RNAcentral is "microRNA MIR1122". It matches the Rfam family "MIR1120/MIR1122 microRNA precursor family". The record is from RNAcentral. Lineage: Eukaryota; Viridiplantae; Streptophyta; Magnoliopsida; Poales; Poaceae.
AUAAUACUCCCUCCGUCCCAAAAUUCUUGUCUUAAAUUUAUCUACAUAUGAAUGUAUCUAGUCACAUUUUAGUAUUUACAUACAUCCAUUUCUAGACAAACUUAAGACAAGAAUUUUGGGACGGAGGGAGUAUUAC